AUAUGUAUGAUGACUCCCUCAUAAUGCAUUCCUUAAAAAAGCUGAAGAAAAUGAGUGAGAACUCCAACCAUUGUUCUUGUUGGAUCUUAA
Molecule: small nucleolar RNA, 90 nt
Organism: Phyllostomus discolor (pale spear-nosed bat)
Lineage: Eukaryota; Metazoa; Chordata; Mammalia; Chiroptera; Phyllostomidae
Product: small nucleolar RNA SNORD116
Exons: 1
Source: RefSeq, a predicted model, not a curated record